Long non-coding RNA from Helianthus annuus (common sunflower), 352 nucleotides. RefSeq lists it as uncharacterized. Lineage: Eukaryota; Viridiplantae; Streptophyta; Magnoliopsida; Asterales; Asteraceae. The record is from RefSeq and is a predicted model, not a curated record. The transcript has 3 exons.
AACAGGGGAGAAAGGGUUCAACCCUAGUUCUUGAAUUCAGCCAAAUUAGAAAGAAUUUCAAAGAAAAUAAACUGCAUGAGCUCAAGAUUUCGAUCAUCUAAACCUACUUAUUGAAGUGGCGUGAAGGAAGAAAGCGCAAGUGCUAGGAAAAUGGAAAACGCACAAGAUCGAGGUAAAUCCUCAACAUAAUGGCUUGGCGACUUGGAACGAACACACAUGAAUCACGUCCACCAUGCGCUUCCGCUACGUUUAUAAUUAUGUUAUGGGUCAAAAAUACUUUUGUGGUAUAUAACUUAUGUUUAGUAGCUAGACUUUAAAGCUUAACAUGUUAUAUCUUUUGAACGUGUCGUAG